UAAAUAAGAUAAUACUCCGCAGACAGUAGGUGCGAAAGCAUAACGGGGAACCAACCUACCGAGGAUUUAGAUAUUCGGUAUUUUGGAUAUAUUAAGCCUCUUCGUGUCUGGGAAGAGGCUUUUAGUUUUUG
Molecule: small RNA, 131 nt
Filed under: Clostridium massiliodielmoense
Lineage: Bacteria; Bacillati; Bacillota; Clostridia; Eubacteriales; Clostridiaceae
Description: Ribosomal protein L10 leader
Rfam family: Ribosomal protein L10 leader
About the family: This family is a putative r-protein leader autoregulatory structure found in B. subtilis and other low-GC Gram-positive bacteria.
Source: RNAcentral